GUUCUUCAUGUAUGAGUGAAGAUGAAACCUGUGAUGGAAUGAAAGAUACAAACGGAUGUUGUGGCACCAGGUUUUGUUGUACACCUAUUAUGACAACGACACCUGCAAUAUGUAGUAAAGAUGACUGUGAUGGCACUUGUACGGGGUAUGAUUGUGGUGAAUUUCUUGACAAUGAAUCUUCAUGCUGUGCGAACAAAUGUUGCCAGUUAGGGGAUGGAUAAAGACUCGGACAUUAACCAUGAAGCAGACAGAAGCAAAUUUAUGUGAAAAUAUCUACAGUUAUAAUAAAAUAAUUACAUGACA
Molecule: long non-coding RNA, 303 nt
Organism: Mytilus californianus (California mussel)
Lineage: Eukaryota; Metazoa; Mollusca; Bivalvia; Mytilida; Mytilidae
Exons: 3
Source: RefSeq, a predicted model, not a curated record